RNAcentral lists this non-coding RNA (171 nucleotides) under Photobacterium sp. Its description in RNAcentral is "Lysine sequence". It matches the Rfam family "Lysine riboswitch aptamer". From Rfam's summary of the family: Riboswitches are metabolite binding domains within certain messenger RNAs that serve as precision sensors for their corresponding targets. Allosteric rearrangement of mRNA structure is mediated by ligand binding, and this results in modulation of gene expression. Lineage: Bacteria; Pseudomonadati; Pseudomonadota; Gammaproteobacteria; Vibrionales; Vibrionaceae. The record is from RNAcentral. RNAcentral also lists the same sequence under 1 other name.
GGGAUCAGAAGAGGUGCGUUAACCAGGGAGUCUGUUCGAGGUAUCCAAAUACCAAUGACAGCAGAUUAGGGGGAUUAACGCCGAGAUAGGUUUGCGUUUGGACGUAACACUUAUCGGUUGCUGGGGCUGAAUCCCCAGGACUGUCACCUAUGGUGGAGAGCUUCUGGUGUU